ACACCUUUAAAAUUCAAAUAUAGAAUUUUGGAUACUUCAAAAUAAAGUUUUUUUUUGGAGAUGCUCUAACUCAAUACUUGCGCUGAACCACAAUUAGACAAGAAAUCAAGUAGCGAAAUAGACUGAAAAAAAUGGUCGCUUAUUUUGUAUUAUUUAUUUGUCCGAAUGUAUUUAAUUUUUGCGCUAUACUUCUUUCCAUAUAUGAUGUAUUAUUUUAUAUGAUUCUAGUUUUACAGUAAUACAACUUCUUUUUUUUAUUAAUUAAGGUAGACAUAAAUAUACUUCUAAUUUCCUUACAUGCACAAAUCUUAAUAUCAUAGUGUUAUAGAUAUAAAUUAUAUAACUACUUAAUUCUUUUUUUGGGUCAAAAUAUAAUUAAAUAAUCCAUGAAUGUGUUUUCUUAUGAAUAUAUAUUAUUAUACUGUUACAAUUUUAAAAAUCAGAAAAUAAGAUAUGAUUAUAAUGUAGUAAUACGUAUAGUUAGUAUACAUUUUUAACAUUGUUGUCAAUGACUGACUAAAAUAUAGGUAUAUCUUUAUAUAUAAAGAAGAGUUUGAAUCUCUCCUGAGCAAUACACGUUGGAUUACACGUAGAUAAUUCGUUCGUUUUCGCGCGGACACGUGUCCAAGAAAAUCGAAACUCGGCGUUUCAUUUAAUAUUGAGUCUGGAACUAAACGCAGCGUUGUCGUCUAGGGUUAUUCCCGUGUUCUUCUUCGCCUCUUCUGCGUCAAGCAAUCUUCCAUCUUCUUCAUCACAAAGAUACCAGUUACAGAUUAAUACCCUUAAAACCUUCAAUUAAUAUUUCAUUCACGAUCUACAUUUAAUGAGAGUUCUGCUUCUCCAAGGCGGUGGAGGUUCUAAUAUAAAAAGGCUGGCCGCUCCUCCUGCACUGGUCAAGUCCGGAUCCGUUUCUGGGAGACUAGGAAUGUCCGCCGUGGUGGAGAGCUCCUGGUCCUGGGAGUGGAUAUGCUGCUACUAGAUUCUCAGGAUUGGUAAUUCGCGUGGUUUUGCAUUUGUUCGAUUUAAGUAUAAAAACGAAGCUCCCAAAGCAGUGGAAAGGCUUGAAGUUACUGCCACCCAUUCGCACGUUUAGUGUUUUCAAUGGAAUGCAGCAGUCGAGUUUGUGUGGGUGGUGAACACGAAAGAAAAAGUUGUAGCAAAUCAUCUCAAGCUGGAGAUAAUUCGGCUUGGGAAGAAGGAGCUUCAUGAAGCAAAAAGUGUGGGUGAAACCAAGGUUGAACUUCAAGGAGUUGCAGGAGUUCAAGCAUGCUGGUGAUGAUUCCCUUACCAUUACUCCCUCCUAUCUUGACUGCAAAUAAGAUGAACAUGAAUCUAGAUGGGGGGAAGUUCCAUGAGGUGAUCAUUUUUCUUUUCAAAACUUUCUUCCUCGCAUUGGUUUUGUUAGUUUUCUCAGAGCUGUGUUUGAUCCAAUGGAACGAUCAGAUUUGAUGUGGGGAGAAAAUGAGCUUAUGGCUCAAGAAAUCUGUCUUAUUCUCACCAACUCAUUAACACAAAUCUUAGCAUUUGUUUCAUGUCUGAUCUUGGAGUCAUUGGUGAGAUUCAACAUGUUGGAAAGAGGUCUACUUGGAUAGACCCAUCAUCACUCGAAUGUUUGUUAUCAGCAACGGUGAACAGCAUCAACACAUCGACAGAACACGAUGACAGAACAAAGAGAUGACGACAGCAACAACAGCAAGCCAAGUCUUUGAAGAGAAACAGUGACGGGACAGGAAGUCACUUCCGUAUUUUUCACUAUUUUAUGGAGGGUCAAACCAGAAAUUAGCAAGACGGAGACCAAGUGGAAAACCCGAUGAAAUCAUAACAGAACAUUUGUCUUUAAGAGCUGAAACAAUGAAUCUUGAAAGUCGAAACAAUUCCAUUUCUCGCAUUUGUCAAAAGAACCACAAUCAAUAUAUGUUAACUUAUACAUUAUCUCACUAAAUAUUCACACCUUUA
Long non-coding RNA from Brassica napus (rape), 1956 nucleotides. RefSeq lists it as uncharacterized. NCBI's taxonomy places the organism in Eukaryota, Viridiplantae, Streptophyta, Magnoliopsida, Brassicales, Brassicaceae. The transcript is spliced from 6 exons. The record is from RefSeq and is a predicted model, not a curated record.